Arabidopsis lyrata subsp. lyrata is the source of this 2173-nucleotide long non-coding RNA. RefSeq lists it as uncharacterized. NCBI's taxonomy places the organism in Eukaryota, Viridiplantae, Streptophyta, Magnoliopsida, Brassicales, Brassicaceae. The record is from RefSeq and is a predicted model, not a curated record. The transcript is spliced from 10 exons.
CCUCUCAAAGUCUGAAGAAAUGCUUGAAUAUUGUCCAUUAGCAGCUACCUGUAGUUUCUCCUGGGAAGCCUCUGUGGAAUCUGUUUCCUUAGGGCUGUCCGGUCUGAUCUCCAAUCUUUCGGUUCUUGUGGGGGCAUAUGGAAUCCCAUAAUCUAGCUCCGGUGUCGAGUCAAUUGAGUGAUGCUUCUUUGCCAUUUCUUCAAGCCCUGCUACAAAUUCACGGAAGCUAUUACCCAUCUCAGGAUCAUAGUCUUUCAGGCUACGUGUAUCGAUAGAGGUAGAACUCCCCGAAUCAAAGGAAAUGCUUGAAGUGUUGGGUCUUCCAGGUGAAGCUUUUGUCUGCAUAACCCUCCAGGCAGUAAAACAUUCUGGGCUCAUAUAUUCUCUUCUGAAGGAGGGUGACUGUUGUUGUUCUGCUGUGUGCAUGCUCAUAAGAUUCCUGUGAUUCUUCAGCUUCAACUGAUGGGUCCAUCUCCAAAUCCGAAUUCUUAAAAGUUAGCUCAUAUGUCUCAGGCUUAGCAUUCCCACACAACUCUACAUCUAUUGUUUUCAAAGAUAAGUUAACAUUUUCCGUUUCUGUAGGUGUGCUAAUCUCUAUGUCUUCAUUCUCGGCUUUCUCAUUACCUAUAGAAGAGUUAAAGCUCUGUUCGUAUUCCAGAGCUGAUAAGGGUUCUUCCUUUCUACGUGUGCUAAUAAUCUCCAUGACUUCAUUCUCGGCUUUCUCAUCACCUGUAGAAGAGUUAUAGCUUUGUUCGUGUUCCGGAGCUGAUAAAAUUUCUUCCUUUCUUGAAGAGUUAUAGCUUAUUUCGUAUUCCAGAGCUGAUAGAGUUUCUUCGAUUCCAGGUGAGAGAACCUCAGAGAUAGCUCUCUUAUCAACAAUGAAUUCUAAUAAGUCAUGGAUUUCAACUGUUGCUGGUUGUCUAAUACUCUGCUCAGCUUCAGGUUCAAUGCAUCUAACUUCUUUGCAUGCAUCUUCAAGUCUUUCGUCGGUUAUUUGAACCAACUCCUCCCAGCCAUCAUACAGGUUCUCCAAGAUCUGUUGAAUCAUAGCUUCUUCUUCGGAAAUCGGCAUCAAAAUCCAUGGAGCUAAACAUGGAUUGUUCGUCCAUCCUAGAAGACCGCUCUUCUGCUGUUGAUUUAACAAAGAAUAGAAGUCAGAGUCUCCAGAAGCAGAUCCUAGAUUCUUCAACUCAUUCUCCAUUCGAGCCAGUUCUCUUUGCAAUUGCCUCACCAAAGCCUUCUCAGACACAACCAGAUUGACCUGAGCAUUUGUCGUAACCUCUUUAGCGCAGAUUGCAAAGAGAAGGGUGUUUCUCGACUGUUCAACAUGACUACGUGCAGGGCUCAUUGUGCAUAUGAUAGCUGUUCUCGCAUUUCCUCCCAAAGAGUUCUGAAGGAUCCGAGUUAGCUUUGAGUCUCGAUACGAUAAAGUCUGAGAAGCUCGUUCACUUCCAGCCAGAUCAAUGAAGCACUUGAGAGGCAAAGAAUCAAAAACACAUUUCAGCAGAAAAAGAAAAAGGAAAUGCAUCGUUUAGCAUAGCGAGAAUGAAAAGUCAGAAUCGAAGAAAAAAGGAUGGAUUAACUGAGUACGUACCAGCCGGAGUAUUUGAUGUGAUCUAGAGCUAACUUCAUUCAGGGAGGUCUCUCCAAUCUUCCUCUGAGCUGCAACAACACUGAUACAUUAGUUAACAUUCAACUAAAUUCAUAUAUAUGUAAGCCCGGCGUGUUACUCACUUUCACAGACUGUAAGAAGUUCCUCCAGAUGUGAUCUGUCUCGGAUGGUCUCCUCAAUAAGUUUCUCAACGACGGUCCCUCUCUGGUGAAGCAAGCGGAUGGAAAUGAGUGGGGUCUAACAAAAUAUGAUAGAGAGUAUAGCAUAAUAUCGAAAAACAAGUGAUGUGUACCUCUGGAUCAUCGAGAAGCCUCAGUUGAUUAUUAUCCCCACUUAGGAGAUCCCUCACAGCUUCAUUGUAAAUCUCAAUUGCAGAGAAUUUCAGAGUGAAUUUGCGAUCUGUAUGCUGAAGAAAAUGAAAAAGAAGAGUGGUUGUUUGGUACUUAUGAAGGAAGAAAUAAGAGACAGAGAGAGAAAGAGAUGUCGAUGCUGCAGAGUUUUUGUUCAAACCUUUUGAAUGUAACAAAAAAUGUCGUCCAUUGCAAAUUUAGUGAUGCCACA